UAUCAGAUUAGUCUCCAUUUAAUGUCAUUCCUGUUUAGGAGAAACAGCUGAGGAAACUCUUUCCUAUGAGUAUAUGCAAACCAGUCACUUAUAAAGCUCCUCUCCCUUUCCUUAAGGAUGUAGAUAUGCAGGUAAUGAUUAUCCAAAUGGAAUGGAAUUUCCUCAUCCAGUAGACAAAUGCAGGACGUGCCGUUGUGAAAAUGGUAACAUCCAGUGUCUGAUGAAGCGGUGAAUUGUGCUGCUGCAUUCGUUCCUUCAAGAGAGUGCUGCCCCCAGUGUCCAGUCAGUCAUGCUCCUGCAUCAAUGGGGUGGAGAGCUGCCACUGCAGGCCCUGCCCCUCUGCUGUCUGCUCUCAUCCCACAAUUCAAGAGUGCUGUCGCACAUGUGAUGGUGAG
Molecule: long non-coding RNA, 395 nt
Organism: Sinocyclocheilus anshuiensis
Lineage: Eukaryota; Metazoa; Chordata; Actinopteri; Cypriniformes; Cyprinidae
Exons: 3
Source: RefSeq, a predicted model, not a curated record